RNAcentral lists this ribosomal RNA (85 nucleotides) under Sclerotinia sclerotiorum. RNAcentral's name for it is "partial 28S ribosomal RNA". The stretch from base 29 to 85 matches the Rfam family "Eukaryotic large subunit ribosomal RNA", at positions 1 to 57 of the family's 3401-position model. Lineage: Eukaryota; Fungi; Ascomycota; Leotiomycetes; Helotiales; Sclerotiniaceae. The record is from RNAcentral.
UUCUGCCAAAACCCAAAUUUUCUAUGGUUGACCUCGGAUCAGGUAGGGAUACCCGCUGAACUUAAGCAUAUCAAUAAGCGGAGGA